RNAcentral lists this ribosomal RNA (464 nucleotides) under uncultured bacterium. RNAcentral describes it as "partial 16S ribosomal RNA". It matches the Rfam family "Bacterial small subunit ribosomal RNA", at positions 338 to 795 of the family's 1533-position model. The record is from RNAcentral.
CCUACGGGAGGCAGCAGUAGGGAAUCUUCGUCAAUGGGCGCAAGCCUGAACGAGCAAUGCCGCGUGAACGAGGAAGGUCUUCGGAUCGUAAAGUUCUGUUGAAGGGGAAAAAGAGCGGAGAGAGGAAAUGGUCUCCGAUUGAUAUUACCCUUCGAGGAAGUCACGGCUAACUACGUGCCAGCAGCCGCGGUAAUACGGAGGUGGCGAGCGUUAUCCGGAAUGAUUGGGCGUAAAGGGUGCGUAGGCGGCCUGCUAAGUCUGGAGUGAAAGGUACCGGCUCAACCGGUAUAGGCUCUGGAAACUGGCGGGCUAGAGAGCAGGAGAGGGCGGUGGAACUCCAUGUGUAGCGGUAAAAUGCGUAGAUAUAUGGAAGAACACCAGUGGCGAAGGCGACCGCCUGGCCUGUUACUGACGCUGAGGCACGAAAGCGUGGGGAGCAAAUAGGAUUAGAUACCCCGGUAGUC